AUGGAUUUUAGAGAGGAUUUUAAAGAGGACUUUAGAAAGGAAUCAUUAAAGGUUCUCAUUACUAGUCCCAAAGUGUUUUCCAGCUCUCUGUGGCUCUGCUGGUGUUCUGGGACCAUUUUGCUGGACACACUGAAAGCACGCUUCAGCAGUGCAAAGGCACAGUGCUUCCUGAAUUCAGCCCAUCUUCUGGGAUUCAACAAGGAGAACCAAGACUGGAAGACAGUGCUACAGCAGGACAGAGAGUUGAAUACACCCUCCAGAGAAUAUCAGAAGUUUAUAUGUGCUCUCUCAUCUUGCAAACCAGGAUUUGGAGUGGAUCAAUUACGAGAUGACAAUCUAGAAACUUACUGGCAGUCAGAUGGCUCCCAGCCUCAUUUAGUGAACAUCCAAUUCAGAAGAAAAACAACAGUGAAGACAUUAUGUAUUUAUGCGGACUACAAAUCUGAUGACAGCUAUACUCCAAGCAAGAUCUCAGUCAGAGUAGGAAAUAAUUUUCAUAAUCUUCAAGAAAUCCGGCAACUUGAAUUGGUGCAACCAAGUGGCUGGAUUCACGUUCCCUUAACUGAUAAUCAUAAGAAGCCAACUCGUACAUUCAUGAUACAGAUUGCUGUUCUAGCCAAUCAUCAGAACGGAAGAGAUACCCACAUGAGACAAAUUAAAAUAUACACACCCGUGGAAGAAAGCUCCAUUGGUAAAUUUCCUACAUGUACAACUACUGAUUUCAUGAUGUAUCGCUCAAUAAGGUGACCUUGAAAUAGAACAAGUCAUUAAACAUAUCUUUAUCUUGUCAGUAAAUAUUAAAUCUGGUAUCUUUAUUGAAAAAUGCAUCAAUUAUUUUGCAAUUUUUUAAUGCAUUGAAAAAUAUUUUAUUGUAAGUUUAAUAAAUAACUUUUGGG
RNA transcript from Aethalodelphis obliquidens (Pacific white-sided dolphin), 896 nucleotides. It is a transcript of the gene named anaphase-promoting complex subunit 10 pseudogene, with no coding region annotated. The record is from RefSeq and is a predicted model, not a curated record. The transcript is spliced from 2 exons. Lineage: Eukaryota; Metazoa; Chordata; Mammalia; Artiodactyla; Delphinidae.